AUAAAAAAAAAAAAUCCCUGUUCGUCACAUUUCACUGCACAUAGCCUGUUUUGUGUCACGGCUCCAGAUGUGCUGCAGGUUUGUUUGAAGACUCCAGGUCCCGUCAGAUCUAAACGACCAGAGUUCAGAGUCAUUUCUCACGAUCCUCUCGCCCUUUUCAACCCGGGCAACAUGGAGAAAGCGACUGAUCUCAGAGCUGACACUGGUCCAUCUUAAAACCAUCUCCAUCCUGACGGGAGUCUGAUUCUCCAGCCAGGUGUUUUGACCACUGAAAAGCUGCCAGCGUCACUAAAAGCAGGUUUGUCUCAGCUAUUAGAAACCGCUUCGUCACAUGUGUGAAGGAGGCUGAGAAAGUCUUGUGCUCCACCUGUUGCUCCGCCACUCAAACGAGGCUGCACAAAAGUGAUGCAAAGCUGUCGAAACAUUCAGAGAGUCUCCACCUGGGAGACGGUUUGCUUCAGCCUCGGUGAUGAACUGCUGGAGGAGCAGCUGGACGCUGCACACGUGGCCCCCCCGGGGAAGUAUUGGAUCCAGCUCCGCUCCUGCACACCUGAGCUCUCCGUUCCAGGACGUGACUUCAGCCAGAACACUGACGGCAACAGUAAAGACAGUUUUUUUAAUUGACUCUGAAAGGCGCUUCCUCGUCGCCGACAUCGCUUCCAGAGGGGUCGGGGAACUUCCCUCUCAUACGCCACACGUAGCAGCUCAUUAUCACCACCCGCCGAACGCUGACCUACUACAUAAACUCUGGGCCACGUCCACAGAGUCAGAUACAGUGUGCUCUAAAAUAUAGUUAACUGUCAAACUGCUAUACCGUUUGUAACUUUAUUCACCUCACCUGUCAACGUGACGACGGUUAAUCCAGGUGACUGUGUGGAGAAGCAGCGCGUUGCAUUACAGACAGCCGCUUGUACCGUAGGAACACGGACGUCGUAAGGCUGAGGGAGUGUGGUCCCAAAGGAAAAGGCUGUCAGACGGCAAU
Acanthopagrus latus (yellowfin seabream) is the source of this 982-nucleotide long non-coding RNA. RefSeq lists it as uncharacterized. Lineage: Eukaryota; Metazoa; Chordata; Actinopteri; Spariformes; Sparidae. The record is from RefSeq and is a predicted model, not a curated record. The transcript has 3 exons.